GAAAAAGGUUACUGUCAUCUCUGUUGGGAAGCCAAAUAAACCUAAUCAGUCUGUCAAGCAGUUAGCUAUUUGGGUAGACUCGAAAAGGAAGAAGCAAAAGCUUUUUGAUAUUUUGAUGAGCAAGCAGCAUUACAAGCCACCAGUUAUUGUAUUUGUGGAUUCUAGACUCGGAGCAGAUCUCCUUUCUGAAGCAAUAACAGUAAGCAC
RNAcentral lists this unclassified non-coding RNA (207 nucleotides) under Hevea brasiliensis (rubber tree). The record is from RNAcentral. Lineage: Eukaryota; Viridiplantae; Streptophyta; Magnoliopsida; Malpighiales; Euphorbiaceae.